AUUGAACGCUGGCGGCAGGCCUAACACAUGCAAGUCGAGCGGAUGAAGGGAGCUUGCUCCUGGAUUCAGCGGCGGACGGGUGAGUAAUGCCUAGGAAUCUGCCUGGUAGUGGGGGAUAACGUCCGGAAACGGGCGCUAAUACCGCAUACGUCCUGAGGGAGAAAGUGGGGGAUCUUCGGACCUCACGCUAUCAGAUGAGCCUAGGUCGGAUUAGCUAGUUGGUGGGGUAAAGGCCUACCAAGGCGACGAUCCGUAACUGGUCUGAGAGGAUGAUCAGUCACACUGGAACUGAGACACGGUCCAGACUCCUACGGGAGGCAGCAGUGGGGAAUAUUGGACAAUGGGCGAAAGCCUGAUCCAGCCAUGCCGCGUGUGUGAAGAAGGUCUUCGGAUUGUAAAGCACUUUUAGUGGGGAGGAAGAGCAGUAAGUUAAUACCUUGCUGUGUUGACGUUACCAGCAGAAUAAGCACCGGCUAACUACGUG
RNAcentral lists this ribosomal RNA (484 nucleotides) under uncultured bacterium. Its description in RNAcentral is "partial 16S ribosomal RNA". It matches the Rfam family "Bacterial small subunit ribosomal RNA", at positions 30 to 507 of the family's 1533-position model. The record is from RNAcentral.